This 468-nucleotide ribosomal RNA is filed under the name uncultured bacterium. Its description in RNAcentral is "partial 16S ribosomal RNA". It matches the Rfam family "Bacterial small subunit ribosomal RNA", at positions 28 to 507 of the family's 1533-position model. The record is from RNAcentral.
GACGAACGCUGGCGGCGUGCUUAACACAUGCAAGUCGAACGGAAAGGCCCUGCUUUUGUGGGGUGCUCGAGUGGCGAACGGGUGAGUAACACGUGAGUAACCUGCCCUUGACUUUGGGAUAACUUCAGGAAACUGGGGCUAAUACCGGAUAGGAGCUCCUGCUGCAUGGUGGGGGUUGGAAAGUUUCGGCGGUUGGGGAUGGACUCGCGGCUUAUCAGCUUGUUUGUGGGGUAGUGGCUUACCAAGGCUUUGACGGGUAGCCGGCCUGAGAGGGUGACCGGCCACAUUGGGACUGAGAUACGGCCCAGACUGCUACGGGAGGCAGCAGUGGGGAAUAUUGCAGAAUGGGCGGAAGCCUGAUGAAGCAACGCCGCGUGCGGGAUGACGGCCUUCGGGUUGUAAACCGCUUUCGCCUGUGACGAAGCGUGAGUGACGGUAAUGGGUAAAGAAGCACCGGCUAACUACGUG